This 268-nucleotide ribosomal RNA is filed under the name uncultured bacterium. RNAcentral's name for it is "partial 16S ribosomal RNA". It matches the Rfam family "Bacterial small subunit ribosomal RNA", at positions 86 to 354 of the family's 1533-position model. The record is from RNAcentral.
UUUAUCUUAGUGGCGACGGGUGAGUAACGCGUUGGGUAACCUGCCCUGUACAGGGGGAUAACACUUAGAAAUAGGUGCUAAAACCGCAUAAGCGCACAGUACCGCAUGGUACAGUGUGAAAAACUCCGGUGGUACAGGAUGGACCCGCGUCUGAUUAGCUGGUUGGAGGGGUAACGGCCCACCAAGGCGACGAUCAGUAGCCGGCCUGAGAGGGUGAACGGCCACAUUGGGACUGAGACACGGCCCAAACUCCUACGGAAGGCAGCAG